UGAAGGUGCUCCUUGGAUUGGAACGGAUCAGGUCCUAGACAAGCCCGAUCCUCCCAGUUCAGGAGCACUUUCCUAUUUCCGACACCCCAACAGACGAUCAUCGCCGUGAAAG
Frankia sp. is the source of this 112-nucleotide non-coding RNA. The record is from Rfam. NCBI's taxonomy places the organism in Bacteria, Bacillati, Actinomycetota, Actinomycetes, Frankiales, Frankiaceae.